UGGAAAUGCAGUCUACAGUGUGAAAAUGACAACUUCUUAUUCUGGUUUGCCCUUGGAAUAUCUCUGUUUAUGGCAUUAAACAGUUUGUCUCUUUCAGAGCUUCCUUCUAUUCUCUCUGGCCUCUAAAUGUUGGAGUAUCCAAGAGCUUGGUCCUUCGUCAUCUCCUCUUCAUCUAUAAUCCCUCACUACUGACUUCAUUUGGCCUUAUGGUACAAAAUACUGUCUACGUUCUGAUGAUUCCCAAAUAUUUAUCUUCACCACAUCUCCUCUGAGCUCCAGAGAAGGAUGUACCUGAUGGCCCUACUUGAACAUUUUAUAGGAAUCCUAAACUAUUGUAUUAGUUAGGGUUCUCUAGAGGGACAGAACUGAUAGGAUAGAUGUAUAUAUGAAGGGGAGUUUAUUAAGGAGUAUUGACUCACACUAUCACAAGGUGAAGUCCUGCAAUAGGCCGUCUGCAAGCUGAGGAGCCAGGAAGGCAGUCCAAGUCCCAAAACCUCAAAAGCAGGGAAGGCGACAGUGCAGCCUUAGGUCUGUAGCCAAAGGCCCGAGAGCUCCUGGCAAACCACUAAUAUUAGUCCAAGAGUCCAAAAGCUGAAGAACUUGGAGUCCAAUGCUCCAGGUCAGGAAGCAUCCAGCACAGGAGAAAGAUGGAGGCUGAAAGACUUAGUGUAGUCUUUCCAUCUUUCUCUUCUGCCUGCUUUUAUCCUAGCCAUGCUGGCAGCUGAUUAGAUCGUGCCCACCCACAUUGAGGGUGGGUCUGCCUCUCCCAGUCCACUGACUCAAAUGUUAAUCUCCUUUGGCAACAUCCUCAUAGACAUACCCAGGAACAAUACUUUGCAUCCUUCAAUCCAGUCAAGUUGACACUCAGUAUUAACCAUCAUAACUAUCUAUGUCCUAGAUCAAACACACUAUCUCCGCUUCUCAUGCUUCUUUUCAUGCACCCCAGUCAGCUUCUCUCUCAGUCUUUCUUCCUCAUGUCAGCAAAUGGUACCAUCCAACUCACAGCUGCACAGUGGGAAGACCCAAGAAUCAACCCUGAUUCUUCUCUUCUUCUCAUGCUUACAUAUAAUUGAUUUGCAAAGCCCACAGACAUGAACUCUAACAUACAUCUCAAAUCAGAUAUCUUUUCACCACAUCCACUCUUAGUGCCUAUAGUCCAAGCCACUUUUCUGCAGUAACCUCCUAAUCAGCCUCCUGUAUAUCCACCUCUGCCUCUGCCUUCCACAGAGAAGUCCAAGAGAUGCUUUGCUCCUCAGGGUUUCUCUACUUCAGCACUGUUGACAUUCUAGACUGGACAGUCCUUUGUUGGAGGUGGAGGCUGUGCCCACAUUGUAGUAUAUUUGGUGGCAUCCCUGGCCUCUACCCACUAGAUGCCAGUGACAAGUUCCAACUUGUGACAACCAUAAUUUCCCUAGACAUUGCUAAAUGUCCCCUGGGGGCAAAAUCACUCCAAGAUGAGAACAACUACUAAAGGUUUUCCUUCACAUUCUGAUAAAAUCCCAGUUCUUUUUGAACCUGCAAGCUUUAAUAUGACCCUAUCACAUCUCCCAUCAUUCUUCCAGUGUUCGGUCUGCUUUAGGACACUGGCCUCCUUAUUUUUCUGGGAACCAGAGAUAUUUCCCUUUUCCUGGCCUUGUGCUUGUUCCUUCAUCUGCCUUAAGUGACUUUCCCCCAAAUCAGCUCAUAGUUUACUCUCUCAUUUCACUGGUCUCUGUUAAAAUGCCAUGGAGACAGAAAAGUCUCCCCUGUAUAAAAUACCUUUCAUUUUUAAUCAUUCUCCCUUUAUCCUGCUUUAUUCUAUUUAGGUAAUUGUUCCUAUUUGAUAUUUUAUUAUUUAAAUAUCUUUUUAUUAUUUGGCUUUCUAAAUAUGUCAGCUCCAUAGAACAUGUGACCUUCUUCAUGCCUACCCAACAAUAACCCAGAACCUGGUAUCUUAUUUAUAAGUAAGUAAUUGUAAUAAUAAGUAAGUAAUGGUUGAAUAAAUUGGUGGUUAAAAUAAUUUUAAAAAUUUCAAAGUAUUUUCUUCACUGUGUAAAUGAAAGUGAGAAAUAUAUAGAAACUCAUUCUUGUAUCUACUUCAGAGGUAGACAGACAACAAAUAUUUUUUAUAUUAACAAUCCCAGAAGGAAGAACUGAGAAAAAAAUAUUGUUUUCAAACCAUGACUCAGAGAAUAGUCCAUAAUUAUAAAUCAGCUCUCCUUACCCCUAGGCUAAUUCUAAUGCCAAACUAUUCUGCAAGUCUAUAUUUUCUGAUCAUAAAAUUGCAUUUCAGUAGGGUGUUUUAUGUAAUUACAAAUGCUUAUAUUUCUGGCAAAUUCAAUAAAAGUAGAUAAGAGGUAGGUUUGCAAACAAAGGUCAUAACAGCAUUUUAUUUUACUAGUCUAUUACUGACAAAAAUUUUCUAUGACAACUUAUCAAAACUUCUAGCAUAUUAUAUUGCUUCCAAAUAUAGUUAUGAUAAACCGCCAAAAGCUAUUUAGCAUAGACAUUUCUUCCUGUUUAUCAAAUAAUUAAGAUAGUUGGUGACUUAAGCGCAUUUAAAAAUGUGAUACAUAAAAUUGUAUAAAAAUUAGUUUCAUCAAAUAGCUGUAAAUGAUAAGCAUGCUGUCCUACUCAUGCUUCUGAAAUUAAUUUGUAAUUUUACUUCUUCAUUAAAAUUGUAUUAUUUUUCCAAUCAAA
This 2679-nucleotide long non-coding RNA is filed under the name Homo sapiens (human). RNAcentral describes it as "HSALNT0073500". Lineage: Eukaryota; Metazoa; Chordata; Mammalia; Primates; Hominidae. The record is from RNAcentral.